RNAcentral lists this ribosomal RNA (449 nucleotides) under uncultured bacterium. RNAcentral describes it as "SSU rRNA". It matches the Rfam family "Bacterial small subunit ribosomal RNA", at positions 26 to 518 of the family's 1533-position model. The record is from RNAcentral.
AGAGCGAACGCUGGCGGCAGGCUUAACACAUGCAAGUCGAGCGGGCGUAGCAAUACGUCAGCGGCAGACGGGUGAGUAACGCGUGGGAACAUACCUUUUGGUUCGGAACAACACAGGGAAACUUGUGCUAAUACCGGAUAAGCCCUUACGGGGAAAGAUUUAUCGCCGAAAGAUUGGCCCGCGUCUGAUUAGCUAGUUGGUGAGGUAACGGCUCACCAAGGCGACGAUCAGUAGCUGGUCUGAGAGGAUGAUCAGCCACAUUGGGACUGAGACACGGCCCAAACUCCUACGGGAGGCAGCAGUGGGGAAUAUUGGACAAUGGGCGCAAGCCUGAUCCAGCCAUGCCGCGUGAGUGAUGAAGGCCCUAGGGUUGUAAAGCUCUUUUGUGCGGGAAGAUAAUGACGGUACCGCAAGAAUAACGCCCGGCUAACGUUCGCGCCAGCAGUCGC